RNAcentral lists this ribosomal RNA (419 nucleotides) under uncultured bacterium. RNAcentral describes it as "bacterial SSU rRNA". It matches the Rfam family "Bacterial small subunit ribosomal RNA", at positions 356 to 774 of the family's 1533-position model. The record is from RNAcentral.
AAGGAAUAUUGCUCAAUGGGAGAAAUCCUGAAGCAGCAACGCCGCGUGGAGGAUGAAGGGUCUAUGACUUGUAAACUCCUGUAAAGAAGGAAAAAAUUCCCAUUUGAUGGGAGAUGAUGGUACUUCUGGAGUAAGCCCCGGCUAACUACGUGCCAGCAGCCGCGGUAAUACGUAGGGGGCAAGCGUUGUCCGGAUUUACUGGGUGUAAAGGGUGCUCAGGCGGAUUUGUAAGUCAUAGGUGAAAUCUUACAGCUUAACUGUGAAACUGCCUUUGAUACUGCAAGCCUAGAGUAUGGAAGAGAGAGAUGGAAUAUCUGGUGUAGCAGUGAAAUGCGUAGAUAUCAGAUAGAACACCAAUGGCGAAGGCAGUCACUUGGUCCAUUACUGACGCUAAAGCACGAAAGCGUGGGUAGCAAACA